This 492-nucleotide ribosomal RNA is filed under the name uncultured bacterium. RNAcentral's name for it is "partial 16S ribosomal RNA". It matches the Rfam family "Bacterial small subunit ribosomal RNA", at positions 29 to 507 of the family's 1533-position model. The record is from RNAcentral.
AGUGAACGCUGGCGGUAGGCCUAACACAUGCAAGUCGAACGGCAGCACAGUAAGAGCUUGCUCUUACGGGUGGCGAGUGGCGGACGGGUGAGGAAUACAUCGGAAUCUACUUUUUCGUGGGGGAUAACGUAGGGAAACUUACGCUAAUACCGCAUACGACCUACGGGUGAAAGCAGGGGAUCUUCGGACCUUGCGCGAUUGAAUGAGCCGAUGUCGGAUUAGCUAGUUGGCGGGGUAAAGGCCCACCAAGGCGACGAUCCGUAGCUGGUCUGAGAGGAUGAUCAGCCACAUUGGAACUGAGACACGGUCCAGACUCCUACGGGAGGCAGCAGUGGGGAAUAUUAGACAAUGGGCGCAAGCCUGAUCCAGCCAUACCGCGUGAGUGAAGAAGGACUUCGGGUUGUAAAGCCCUUUUGUUGGGAAAGAAAAGCAGCAGGUUAAUACCCCGCUGUUCUGACGGUACCCAAAGAAUAAGCACCGGCUAACUUCGUG